This 458-nucleotide ribosomal RNA is filed under the name uncultured bacterium. RNAcentral's name for it is "partial 16S ribosomal RNA". It matches the Rfam family "Bacterial small subunit ribosomal RNA", at positions 338 to 795 of the family's 1533-position model. The record is from RNAcentral.
CCUACGGGCGGCAGCAGUGAGGAAUAUUGGUCAAUGGGCGAGAGCCUGAACCAGCCAAGUCGCGUGAGGGAGUACUUACCUAUGGGUUGUAAACCUCUUUUGUAGGGGAGCAAAAGACGGACGUGUCCGGCUGUGAGAGUACCCGAAGCAAAGGCAUCGGCUAACUCCGUGCCAGCAGCCGCGGUAAUAAGUGGGAUGCGAGCGUUAGCCGGAUUUAUUGGGUGUAAGGGGUGCGCAGGCGGAUUUUUAAGUCAGCGGUAAAAUCGUGGGGCUCAACCCCAUCCAGCCGUUGAAACUGGGGAUCUAGAGUGUGCGAGAGGUAUGCGGAAUGCGUGGUGUAGCGGUGAAAUGCAUAGAUAUCACGCAGAACCCCGAUUGCGAAGGCAGCAUACCGGUGCACAACUGACGCUCAGGCACGAAAGCGUGGGUAUCGAACAGGAUUAGAUACCCGUGUAGUC